RNAcentral lists this ribosomal RNA (492 nucleotides) under uncultured bacterium. RNAcentral describes it as "partial 16S ribosomal RNA". It matches the Rfam family "Bacterial small subunit ribosomal RNA", at positions 29 to 507 of the family's 1533-position model. The record is from RNAcentral.
AGUGAACGCUGGCGGUAGGCCUAACACAUGCAAGUCGAACGGCAGCACAGUAAGAGCUUGCUCUUACGGGUGGCGAGUGGCGGACGGGUGAGGAAUACAUCGGAAUCUACUUUUUCGUGGGGGAUAACGUAGGGAAACUUACGCUAAUACCGCAUACGACCUACGGGUGAAAGCAGGGGAUCUUCGGACCUUGCGCGAUUGAAUGAGCCGAUGUCGGAUUAGCUAGUUGGCGGGGUAAAGGCCCACCAAGGCGACGAUCCGUAGCUGGUCUGAGAGGAUGAUCAGCCACACUGGAACUGAGACACGGUCCAGACUCCUACGGGAGGCAGCAGUGGCGAAUAUUGGACAAUGGGCACAAGCCUGAUCCAGCCAUACCGCGUGGGUGAAGAAGGCCUUCGGGUUGUAAAGCCCUUUUGUUGGGAAAGAAAAGCAGCAGGUUAAUACCCCGCCGUUCUGACGGUACCCAAAGAAUAAGCACCGGCUAACUUCGUG